Myodes glareolus (Bank vole) is the source of this 106-nucleotide small nuclear RNA. The record is from RefSeq and is a predicted model, not a curated record. Lineage: Eukaryota; Metazoa; Chordata; Mammalia; Rodentia; Cricetidae.
GUGCUUGCUUUGGCAGCACAUAUACUAAAAUUGAAACAAUGCAGAGACGAUUAGCAUGGCCAAGCGCAAGGAUGACACACAAAUUUGUGAAGCGUUCCAUUUUUUU